RNAcentral lists this ribosomal RNA (253 nucleotides) under uncultured bacterium. RNAcentral's name for it is "partial 16S ribosomal RNA". It matches the Rfam family "Bacterial small subunit ribosomal RNA", at positions 524 to 776 of the family's 1533-position model. The record is from RNAcentral.
UACGUAGAGUGCAAGCGUUAUCCGGAAUUAUUGGGCGUAAAGAGCUCGUAGGCGGUUUGUCGCGUCUGCUGUGAAAACUGGAGGCUCAACCUCCAGCCUGCAGUGGGUGCGGGCAGACUAGAGUGCGGUAGGGGAGAUUGGAAUUCCUGGUGUAGCGGUGGAAUGCGCAGAUAUCAGGAAGAACACCUAUGGCGAAGGCAGCACUCUGGGACGGUACUGACGCUGAGACGCGAAAGCGUGGGGAGCGAACAGG